GUGUAUUUUACUAAUUACUUGCGUCUAGCUGAAGUUAAAAAUAUGCGGGUUCAUUGUUACCUUUUACGUCAAUGUCUUUAGCUUCAUUUAAAAAUUAUGCACAAAAACUUAUUUGUAAUAUUUUGCGACCACAAAAUACAGCUACGUCAUGAUGUAAUAAUUUUUAGCGGAGUUUAGAACAGUUGGUUUUCAUUCGUUUACGUGUUUGUAUGAUUUUAUCAAUUCAUCAAUAGGUAGGUAAGUCAUUUAGACUGUUCCCUUUACGUGAGGCAAAUAACGCCCGUAUUCACAAAUGAUAAGUGAAGCAGCAAAUUGAACGCACAGCGUUGAUUACAGCUCUCUGAUUGGUUCGUAUGUGACCCUGCGCGUCCACGUGCACUGUGAGACCUCAUAGUAAUGUUUGUGAAUACGGGUGUAAGGGUUUUGGCCUAUACUCCCUCAAUGGUCAGACGGGUUGAGGAAGCCUAACGUUUGCAUACUUAUUUCUCCUUUAGUUGUCUCUUACGACAUCCACGGGAAGAAUGGUGGACUUACUACUCUACUCUGCCAGAACCACACAGCAAUUUGAUUCCCGAGUCGCGAUUUUGCGGCAAUUUUCGCCCUUAAUGAGGGCUAUCGUUUUAGCGCUCACCAGUUGGCGCCACUGUAGAGUAAGGUCCUGUCACUUGCUAGUAGCGAAGACAGUGGCGCCAGCUGGUGAGCGCUAAAGUGAUAGGAGGACUAUUGCAUUUGCGCUCAUCAAGAUGGCGCCACUGUAGAGUAAGGUCCUGUCAAUCGCCAGGGGUACCAACUGUUAAGUAUAAAAACGAUAGCCCUCAUUGCCAUGUUUUUGGGCUUCUUUUUCCUUCACUCCAAAUAGUUUCUUUAUCCAGUUUUAAGCCAAUAACUAAGCUCUCAUUAGCACGCGGACCGCGCGCGGCGCAGCUGGCAGUAAUGUCUUCAUGGGAUCCUGGGAUUUAUAGCACACACCCAAUACACCGUUUGGAAUCUGGAAGAGCUUUAUACACAUACAGUUUCACAGAUAACGGACCGUGUAUGAGGCGAUGUAAAUUAUGAUUUUGUAAAUUUUUUCUUCCUCCAUAGUCCGCGUCUCAAUUUUGAAUAGGAAAUAAUAAAAUAAGUAUUAUCAAUAUGGUAAAAAUCGACUCAAAGACGUCA
Ostrinia furnacalis (Asian corn borer) is the source of this 1158-nucleotide long non-coding RNA. RefSeq lists it as uncharacterized. The transcript has 2 exons. The record is from RefSeq and is a predicted model, not a curated record. Lineage: Eukaryota; Metazoa; Arthropoda; Insecta; Lepidoptera; Crambidae.